UGGGGAAUUUUGGACAAUGGGCGCAAGCCUGUUCCAGCCAUGCCGCGUGCGGGAAGAAGGCCUUCGGGUUGUAAACCGCUUUUGUCGGGGAAGAAAAGCCUUGGGUUAAUACCCUGGGGUGAUGACGGUACCCGAAGAAUAGGCACCGGCUAACUACGUGCCAGCAGCCGCGGUAAUACGUAGGGUGCAAGCGUUAAUCGGAAUUACUGGGCGUAAAGCGUGCGCAGGCGGUUGUGUAAGACAGAGGUGAAAUCCCCGGGCUCAACCUGGGAACUGCCUUUGUGACUGCAAGGCUGGAGUGCGGCAGAGGGGGAUGGAAUUCCGCGUGUAGCAGUGAAAUGCGUAGAUAUGCGGAGGAACACCGAUGGCGAAGGCAAUCCCCUGGGCCUGCACUGACGCUCAUGCACGAAAGCGGGGGGAGCAAACA
Molecule: ribosomal RNA, 427 nt
Filed under: uncultured bacterium
Lineage: Bacteria
Description: bacterial SSU rRNA
Rfam family: Bacterial small subunit ribosomal RNA
Source: RNAcentral